This 491-nucleotide ribosomal RNA is filed under the name uncultured bacterium. RNAcentral describes it as "partial 16S ribosomal RNA". It matches the Rfam family "Bacterial small subunit ribosomal RNA", at positions 29 to 506 of the family's 1533-position model. The record is from RNAcentral.
AGUGAACGCUGGCGGUAGGCCUAACACAUGCAAGUCGAACGGCAGCACAGUAAGAGCUUGCUCUUACGGGUGGCGAGUGGCGGACGGGUGAGGAAUACAUCGGAAUCUACUUUUUCGUGGGGGAUAACGUAGGGAAACUUACGCUAAUACCGCAUACGACCUACGGGUGAAAGCAGGGGAUCUUCGGACCUUGCGCGAUUGAAUGAGCCGAUGUCGGAUUAGCUAGUUGGCGGGGUAAAGGCCCACCAAGGCGACGAUCCGUAGCUGGUCUGAGAGGAUGAUCAGCCACACUGGAACUGAGACACGGCCCAGACUCCUACGGGAGGCAGCAGUGGGGAAUAUGGGACAAUGGGCGCAAGCCUGAUCCAGCCAUACCGCGUGGGUGAAGAAGGCCUUCGGGUUGUAAAGCCCUUUUGUUGGGAAAGAAAAGCAGCAGGUUAAUACCCCGCUGUUCUGACGGUACCCAAAGAAUAAGCACCGGCUAACUUCGU